UACGUAGGGGACAAGCGUUGUCCGGAUUUAUUGGGCGUAAAGGGCGCGUAGGCGGCGCGGUAAGUUACCAGUGAAAUCUCCGGGCUCAACUCGGAGCCUGCUGGCGAAACUGCCGUGCUGGAGUAUGGGAGGGGUGCGUGGAAUUCCUGGUGUAGCGGUGAAAUGCGUAGAGAUCGGGAGGAACACCGGUGGCGAAAGCGGCGCACUGGACCAUAACUGACGCUGAGGCGCGAAAGCUAGGGGAGCAAACAGG
Molecule: ribosomal RNA, 253 nt
Filed under: uncultured bacterium
Lineage: Bacteria
Description: partial 16S ribosomal RNA
Rfam family: Bacterial small subunit ribosomal RNA
Source: RNAcentral